This 420-nucleotide ribosomal RNA is filed under the name uncultured bacterium. RNAcentral's name for it is "bacterial SSU rRNA". It matches the Rfam family "Bacterial small subunit ribosomal RNA", at positions 356 to 773 of the family's 1533-position model. The record is from RNAcentral.
GAGGAAUAUUGGUCAAUGGGCGAGAGCCUGAACCAGCCAAGUCGCGUGAAGGAAGACGGUUCUAUGGAUUGUAAACUUCUUUUGUAAGGGAAUAAAGUUCACUACGUGUAGUGUUUUGUAUGUACUUUACGAAUAAGGAUCGGCUAACUCCGUGCCAGCAGCCGCGGUAAUACGGAGGAUCCAAGCGUUAUCCGGAUUUAUUGGGUUUAAAGGGUGCGUAGGCGGACCCAUAAGUCAGUGGUGAAAGUUUGCAGCUUAACUGUAAAAUUGCCGUUGAAACUGUGGGUCUUGAGUGUAAAUAAAGUAGGCGGAAUGUGUUGUGUAGCGGUGAAAUGCUUAGAUAUAACACAGAACACCAAUUGCGAAGGCAGCUUACUGGGAUACAACUGACGCUGAGGCACGAAAGCGUGGGGAUCAAAC